GCCUAGUUAGCAUGGAGGGGAAUGCAGCUACCUUGUAAGUGCUAGGUUGCAGGUUCAAUUCCUGCCUAAGGGCA
Molecule: transfer RNA, 74 nt
Filed under: Diaphorina citri (Asian citrus psyllid)
Lineage: Eukaryota; Metazoa; Arthropoda; Insecta; Hemiptera; Psyllidae
Rfam family: tRNA
About the family: Transfer RNA (tRNA) molecules are approximately 80 nucleotides in length. Their secondary structure includes four short double-helical elements and three loops (D, anti-codon, and T loops).
Source: Rfam by way of RNAcentral